GGGGAUUUAGCUCAGUGGCAUAAGCAUCUGCCUCGCAAGCAGUGCAGUUGUGAGUUCCAUCCCUAUUAUCCCUC
Molecule: transfer RNA, 74 nt
Filed under: Cavia porcellus (domestic guinea pig)
Lineage: Eukaryota; Metazoa; Chordata; Mammalia; Rodentia; Caviidae
Rfam family: tRNA
About the family: Transfer RNA (tRNA) molecules are approximately 80 nucleotides in length. Their secondary structure includes four short double-helical elements and three loops (D, anti-codon, and T loops).
Source: Rfam by way of RNAcentral